CGUUCACUUCUGGUAAAUAACCAACAGUUUCAUACACUCCACCCCUUCAUCCUGAUUAGAGAGCUCUCCUUGAAAAAUGAAGUAUACUUGAUGAAAUUCAAAGCAAAGGCAGAAGAGAGGAUGGGAGUGUACAUCAUGAGAAAUGCUGGGCUGAAUGAAGCACAAACUGGAAUCAAGAUUGCUGGGAGAAAUAUCAAUAGCCUCAGAUAUGGAGAUGAUAACACCCUUAUGGUAGAAAGUGAGGAAGAACUAAAGAGCCUCUUGUUGCAAGUGAAAGAGGUCAUUGCAGACUAUUGAGAAGAAUUUCCUGUGCUAUACACCAACAUUCCAAUAAGUGGUAAAUAACACGGAGGCUCAACAGAUCCUGUUUCUCCAGUUCCUGUUUGUUGCUGUUGCCUGCUAAGUAAAGUUAUUGAUAUGCUCUGAGCCUUUACCACACACAUGUCUCCUCAGUGCUCAUCUCCCUCCAAA
Long non-coding RNA from Budorcas taxicolor (takin), 471 nucleotides. RefSeq lists it as uncharacterized. The transcript has 4 exons. The record is from RefSeq and is a predicted model, not a curated record. Lineage: Eukaryota; Metazoa; Chordata; Mammalia; Artiodactyla; Bovidae.